UUAGAUACCCUGUUAUACUGAUAGAACCUUAAAUUAUUAAUAGAUAUAUUCUUUAAACUUGAAGAAUUUGGCGGUGAUUUAAUCUUGUUAGAGGAACCUGUUUUUGGAUCGAUAUUCCACGUAGAAUCUUACUUACUUUAUAUAGUUUGUAUACCGUCAUUAUCGGACAAUCUUUAAAAGGUAAAUUGUUAGGAUUUAUAAAAAUAAAUUAAAUUAGAUCAAGGUGCAGCUUAUAGGUGAGUUAAAAUGGGUUACAAUAAAAUUUAUUUAUGACGGAAUAACUAGAAGGAAGAAAUGUUAUGAAGGAGGAUUUAAUUGUAAUACAAAAUUAAUAAGCUUGAAAGAWAUAAGUUCUAAAUCAUGUACAUAUCGCCGGUCGCUA
RNAcentral lists this ribosomal RNA (382 nucleotides) under Palapedia sp. 1 JCYL-2010. RNAcentral's name for it is "partial 12S ribosomal RNA". Lineage: Eukaryota; Metazoa; Arthropoda; Malacostraca; Decapoda; Xanthidae. The record is from RNAcentral.